GUGUUCUUUCUCCCGUACAGACAGAACCAGCAAAACACCGAGCUGCGCCCUGCUGAUGGUCAAAUCCGCUCGGAAAUAACAAACCAACCCGGGGCUCCCAGGGGCAAAACGUUUGUGCAGUGUGCACCGUUUGCUUAUCACGGUCCAGCCCAAGUGGUGAAGCUUGCUAUAAGCUUGCUAAACACUGCCGCACUGAGGAAUAGUUAAGCGCCAGCCGAGCAACAUUGCAUUCCACGAACACUCUUCUUCAACAAACAAGCACAGUUUAUUUAAAAAAAAACAAGCACUUUAACUCCGGGAGAAAAUCAAAACAAGCUCAGCACAUCCCACGCAACAAAAUGGACCAGGCAACAAAAGCUACCACUUGGAAGCAGAACCGAACAGCCCGGAAAGCUGGAGAAAGUAAGUUCAACUCACCGCUGCUGCUGCAGCAAUUGCCAUUGCCCAGGCUCAUGAAUAAUCGAUCGACGGCUAUUUCGUGCACAAGCAAUGUACCUCCAAUUGCGAAGUAGUUUAAUUUAGUACGAUCAAACAACCAUUGUGUAGUAAAAUCUGUAUCACUGUACCAUGGCGAUCGAAAGACAAUUGUGUGAACAACUUAACGAAAACUGUUUCCUUGAGAAAAAUAAAAAAAAAAUAAUCCAUCAACA
This is a long non-coding RNA of Anopheles gambiae (African malaria mosquito), 650 nucleotides long. RefSeq lists it as uncharacterized. The transcript is spliced from 2 exons. NCBI's taxonomy places the organism in Eukaryota, Metazoa, Arthropoda, Insecta, Diptera, Culicidae. The record is from RefSeq and is a predicted model, not a curated record.